This 252-nucleotide ribosomal RNA is filed under the name uncultured bacterium. RNAcentral's name for it is "partial 16S ribosomal RNA". It matches the Rfam family "Bacterial small subunit ribosomal RNA", at positions 524 to 776 of the family's 1533-position model. The record is from RNAcentral.
UACAGAGGGGGCCAGCGUUAUUCGGAAUUAUUGGGCGUAAAGGGCGCGUAGGGGCCCUGCGUGGUCUCCGUGAAAUCCCUCGGCUCAACCGAGGACGUGCGGAAGAAACUGCAAGGCUCGAGUCCGGAAGAGGGGGGCGGAAUUCCCAGUGUAGCGGUGAAAUGCGUAGAUAUCUGGAGGAACACCGGUGGCGAAGGCGGCAUCCUGGACCGGCAUUGACGCUGAGGCGCGAAAGCCAGGGGAGCAAACGGG